AGUAUUUAUUAGAUAUCAGCCAAUAACCUUCGGGUAUUGUGGUGAAUCAUAGUAACUUAGCGGAUCUCAUAGGCGUUUGCCUGAGACAAACCAUUCAAGUUUCUGCCCCAUCAUGCUUUCGAUGGUAGUGUAUUGGACUACCAUGGCUUUUACGGGUGACGGAGGAUUAGGGUUCGAUUCCGGAGAGGGAGCCUGAGAAACGG
This 203-nucleotide ribosomal RNA is filed under the name uncultured eukaryote. Its description in RNAcentral is "partial small subunit ribosomal RNA". It matches the Rfam family "Eukaryotic small subunit ribosomal RNA", at positions 202 to 406 of the family's 1831-position model. The record is from RNAcentral.